Molecule: ribosomal RNA, 371 nt
Filed under: uncultured bacterium
Lineage: Bacteria
Description: bacterial SSU rRNA
Rfam family: Bacterial small subunit ribosomal RNA
Source: RNAcentral
AAUAACGUAGACGAAAGUUACGCUAAUACCGCAUAUUCUGUGAGCAGGAAAGAGGGGGAUCGCAAGACCUCUUGCUUUAGGAGCGGCCGAUGUCGGAUUAGCUAGUUGGUGAGGUAAAGGCUCACCAAGGCGACGAUCCGUAGCGGGUCUGAGAGGAUGAUCCGCCACACUGGGACUGAGACACGGCCCAGACUCCUACGGGAGGCAGCAGUGGGGAAUUUUGGACAAUGGGCGCAAGCCUGAUCCAGCCAUGCCGCGUGAGUGAAGAAGGCCUUCGGGUUGUAAAGCUCUUUCGGUGGGGAAGAAAUUGCUUCGGUUAAUACCUGGAGUAGAUGACGGUACCCGCAUAAGAAGCACCGGCUAACUACGUG